Patella vulgata (common limpet) is the source of this 498-nucleotide long non-coding RNA. RefSeq lists it as uncharacterized. Lineage: Eukaryota; Metazoa; Mollusca; Gastropoda; Patellidae. The transcript is spliced from 3 exons. The record is from RefSeq and is a predicted model, not a curated record.
UCUUGCUCUAGCUAAGCGUUACCCCAGGACGAUAAAAGAGCAAGAGAGGGACGAUAGCUGACUGUCUUCUUCCCAUAACUAGAUAGACAGUCAGUAUGCUGUUGUUACUUUCGGUUUUUAUAUCACUGACAUGUCAGUAUGCUGACGCAGCUGGUGCCGCCAGUUUGAGAUUAACAGGAGGUGGAUCAAGGUAUGGUUUUGUAGAAAUGAACAUUGGUGGGGUUUGGCGACCGGUUUGUCCUGGAGAUAAUUAUAACCAGUACAACGAUGGAGAAAUACCGAGUAUUAUUUGUAAACAACUAGGAUAUGUAUCUGGUAUAUAUUAUGAUAUGGGGAUGAAGUCUACUGCUAACUCAUGGUGGUACAAUCAAUUUGAAAAGGAGUCUUACAUGGAACCUUCCGUUCCUAACUUGGAUGCUUACGUUAAAGGAAGGUGGCUAAGCGUCACUGCAACGGGAGAGUUUUCUUAUUGCCCUAGCUCCAGUAUUGCUGUGAACU